GCGACAUUUUUCUAGGUUAAACCAUAGACAUAUAUAUGUUUCUAGAUUCCACUGCAGCCUACAAUUCCCGCGGUGAAUCUCGUGGCGCGUUUGUUUAUGACGUCACACAACAUAUAAAUACCGUUCAUUCGCGUGAUAGCAUUCUCUUGGAAUCUGUGCUAUCUUUUUGAGACACUCCUCCCAAACAUGAGAGGGAAGUGGAGGAAGAAGCGCAUGCGUAGGCUGAAGCGCAAAAGGAGAAAGAUGAGGCAGAGGUCCAAGUAAACUGCUUCCCUUCUGCUGCAGCUGGAACUGCUCCUCCUAGACCUUCCCACCGACCCCUCGCCUUCUCCAGAAACCCAAGCUGAGGCCUUUUGAAGGACUCCUACAUUCCUCAGAAGGAUGCGGGCACCCUUGUUGGAUCUCCUGGCUCUUCUAUUUGUGAUGUGCUGACCUGUGAAAGCUUCUCUUGGACAUUCUGGACUUCCGCCAGCUCAGCAAAGUUUUUGUUUAUAUUUCCUUGAAUAAAGAAAUUUGAUUUGGAAAAGGGGAAAUGCUGUAUUCUAUUUCUACCACUACGAUGGUACAGGUUUUUUUUUUUUUUUUUUUAAUGCUCCAGUUUUAUAGUUGGACUGGUGGGGGUUUAGUUAACCUGUGAUGUAGUGUAGAUGGUCAAAUAAGGUUUUCUUGGUUAGAGUUCAUGGAAUUUCACCAAGUUUUAAAAAAAAAAAACGGACCAGGAAAAUAUUUCGCUCCAUGUCUAGGAAUGAAGUUCAUCCAACCAUGGUGACCCUGAUCCCUAGGAAGCUUGAUUUAACAGAACCUCACAUUCCAUCGAAAAUGACAUGCUCUAAAGGUGCCAUCUGUCGGAUCGCCGCAGAAAUGGCAUAUGGUAUCAUAAGUGUUUUCUUUACUGUAUUACCUGUAAUUAGAAAUUGUGUUGGCUUAAUGCGCACUUCAUAUCUAUAUAGAGAGCGGGUCCUCUUCUGCAGGCUCUGCCGUGUUGUACCGCCAUGUUUGUACAGUAGCCCAGAAUGGUGUUU
This is a long non-coding RNA of Clupea harengus (Atlantic herring), 1022 nucleotides long. NCBI's taxonomy places the organism in Eukaryota, Metazoa, Chordata, Actinopteri, Clupeiformes, Clupeidae. The record is from Ensembl.